RNAcentral lists this ribosomal RNA (389 nucleotides) under uncultured bacterium. RNAcentral's name for it is "bacterial SSU rRNA". It matches the Rfam family "Bacterial small subunit ribosomal RNA", at positions 30 to 418 of the family's 1533-position model. The record is from RNAcentral.
AUUGAACGCUGGCGGCAUGCCUUACACAUGCAAGUCGAACGGCAGCACGGGAGCAAUCCUGGUGGCGAGUGGCGAACGGGUGAGUAAUAUAUCGGAACGUGCCCAGUCGUGGGGGAUAACGUAGCGAAAGCUACGCUAAUACCGCAUACGAUCUAUGGAUGAAAGCGGGGGAUCGCAAGACCUCGCGCGAUUGGAGCGGCCGAUAUCAGAUUAGGUAGUUGGUGAGGUAAAGGCUCACCAAGCCGACGAUCUGUAGCUGGUCUGAGAGGACGACCAGCCACACUGGGACUGAGACACGGCCCAGACUCCUACGGGAGGCAGCAGUGGGGAAUUUUGGGACAAUGGGCGCAAGCCUGAUCCAGCAAUGCCGCGUGCAGGAUGAAGGCCUU